This 672-nucleotide ribosomal RNA is filed under the name Salmonella enterica. RNAcentral's name for it is "partial 23S ribosomal RNA". It matches the Rfam family "Bacterial large subunit ribosomal RNA", at positions 711 to 1298 of the family's 2925-position model. The record is from RNAcentral. Lineage: Bacteria; Pseudomonadati; Pseudomonadota; Gammaproteobacteria; Enterobacterales; Enterobacteriaceae.
AGACCCGAAACCCGGUGAUCUAGCCAUGGGCAGGUUGAAGGUUGGGUAACACUAACUGGAGGACCGAACCGACUAAUGUUGAAAAAUUAGCGGAUGACCUGUGGCUGGGGGUGAAAGGCCAAUCAAACCGGGAGAUAGCUGGUUCUCCCCGAAAGCUAUUUAGGUAGCGCCUCGUGAAUUCAUCUCCGGGGGUAGAGCACUGUUUCGGCUAGGGGGCCAUCCCGGCUUACCAACCCGAUGCAAACUGCGAAUACCGGAGAAUGUUAUCACGGGAGACACACGGCGGGUGCUAACGUCCGUCGUGAAGAGGGAAACAACCCAGACCGCCAGCUAAGGUCCCAAAGUCAUGGUUAAGUGGGAAACGAUGUGGGAAGGCCCAGACAGCCAGGAUGUUGGCUUAGAAGCAGCCAUCAUUUAAAGAAAGCGUAAUAGCUCACUGGUCGAGUCGGCCUGCGCGGAAGAUGUAACGGGGCUAAACCAUGCACCGAAGCUGCGGCAGCGAACGUAUCACUUAAAGCGAUUCAGCGGGUUACGAUUGACGGAGCGAAGCGACGUCAAAGCGUAUACAAAGUCGAGUCGGUUUAAGGAUACGUUCGUUGGGUAGGGGAGCGUUCUGUAAGCCUGUGAAGGUGGCCUGUGAGGGUUGCUGGAGGUAUCAGAAGUGCGAAUGCU